Vigna radiata var. radiata (mung bean) is the source of this 9326-nucleotide long non-coding RNA. RefSeq lists it as uncharacterized. Lineage: Eukaryota; Viridiplantae; Streptophyta; Magnoliopsida; Fabales; Fabaceae. The record is from RefSeq and is a predicted model, not a curated record. The transcript is spliced from 3 exons.
AAGAACAUGAAUCGAAAGAUAAGCUAGGAAGGUAACAAACCCUAAAUGAAGAAAGCAGCCUCCCUCUUCGCUUCCUUUCACGCCGUUUGCCUACGGUCGCCACCGUCACUGUUGCAGCACGUCCGCGGUGCCAUCAACCAUACUGGACACAGCGGUUCGACCCUUUCACGCGCGAGAGAGAGGUUUCGCCGUCCACGUCGAUGCGCCCUCCACCAUCACGAACAAGGCUCGUCGCCCUUGGUGCCAACCGCUCACGCAGACGCCGCUGCAACCUCCAACCACUGUAACCGCCGCGAGUUCGUCAUCCUCUUCCUUCUCAUAGCAACCCCCACAUCAACCACGACUUAUUGUUUCACGCGAGCCUCAAUCAGAACCUGCAUUCUCCACCCUGCCACCCAAAAAACAUAUAUACCCAAAUCACAGAAACAGAGAGAGACGAGUAACACAGCGGCACCAUCCUCCAUUCUUCUCGCGCCUCCCAGCGUCGCAACAGCGCAGCCUCUCAGCGGGGAAGAAGGUCAAGGGUGAAUCUUGACGAAGAUAUGGUCUAACGGCAGUUCCCCAUUACCACAAAGAUGACAAUUUGAUGGAAUUUGGAGUGACACCUAUCUGGUGACUGCAACGAACCAUCUUCUUCACUGCAAGAGUGAAUGAAAUAAGAACAUCUUUACGAGCUUGCUGCCAAUGGUGAAUGAAAAAUUAGCACUGCAUUGCUUCUUCCCUACCGGUAAUCACUUUUUGUGUCUUGUAACCUUAGAAGAUAUCAUUGUUGUUUGCAACACCACUGUUCUAUGUUGGAUAGGUGUGAAAAAAGGUGAGGAACAUCCAAGGGAAAGGAGUUCGGCCUUGGUUAUAGUUAAAUGAUGAUGGACAUUGAGGUUCUGUUUGAUGGGUUAUGUUUUGGUGGAGAAAAAAAUAUGACUGUGAAGAUUAUAAAGAUACUGAUGCAGGGAUUGAAUAUGGAAGAUAGAAAUGGAAAUUGUUCUUCUGAGGAGAUGAUAAAUCUGAUAAUGGCUUGAGUUUUUCGAUGGUUGGUAGGUGAAGGGAAGGUUUGGAUGGUCAUUGACUAUUGCUUGAAGAAGAUGAAUGGUACAUUGGUGAAGAUGGCCGCUGUUAGAAUGAUGAAGGUGAACUUAACAUAUCUGUCAUGAAGCUCUAUUGGGAGAACAAUUGAGGAGAAAUUUCGAAUCUGAGGUAGAGGAUGAAGGUCCUGGUGUGCCAAUGGAGGAUGGGAGACAAUAUUGGAAUGGGUUGUAGGAAUGGACAAUUGUGAUCUGAGAGUAAAAUGUUUCCCCAAGGUUACGUGAGUGAUGGUUUUCCCAAAUUGCGAAAGGCCUCGGGAGUAGGGGAACAUUCCCCUUUUUAAGUGAAGAAAUCAUGAAGAAACCCCCUCUGUUUUAUUUUUAAUCAGAUCGGUAUCAGGAGAAAGAUGAUCCUCCUUCCCCUCCCUCCCUGGUGACUUCAGAGAUCCUCUGAUAUAGUGAGUCUCAAAGAUCUAUAUCGCUGUCGGUGAGUGUCUGGCAAGUGUUUAAUUCUUCAUUACCAGCUAGGAGCAACUGAGAAAAAGAAAGUGAUUGCCAGAUAGGAGCAAUUGAGAAAGAAAAGAGUGACGGGUAGUAUGAAGCUUCCUAGUUCAGUUUUUCCUCUAUGGUUUCUAUUCGAGAAACUAUUCCCCCACGGCCUAGAUAUAGAUUAUUCCUGAAUGUUGUCCUUUCUCCAGCUUUGACAUCCCUUUGAGACUCCUUCCACAUCUCUUGCAAUCUCCAUUGCUCUCAUUAAAUCUUUGGGAUUGUGUGGCUUGUCCAAUUAACUUUUCAAAUUCUUGAAUAUAGUCCUCCACUUCUCCCCACUUCUCCUUUUUGUCUAACCGCGAUCAACUUCUCAAACACCGUUGCCCUAUCCAUUCCUCCUAACCUCCUUAUCAAGGCUUCUAUCAAAUCUUCCCACAUUGAAUCAUUGGUUUUCUUCCUCCAAAAUUAGAAUCAAUGACUGACCCUUUCUUCCAUACUCAUGAAAGCUAAUUUCUUCUCUAGGUGUAACUUCCUGACUUCCUGGACUUCAAAGAAUUUUCCAGUCCUAUAAAUCCAUUCGAUAGGAUCCCCUCCUUCGAUUGAGGGCAAUUCCACCUUUUUCAUCCACCGUUGGUUUUCUCUUUUAUCUUCCUUCCAUUCUUCAUCUAUCUCUUUCCUUCUUCCUACUUUAUCACCAUUUACUGAAUCUUUGCACCCUCUAGACCCCUUCUCAAUAUUCUUAAGUCUGCUCAUGACAUCCUCCAUCAUUUCACUAGUCUUUGAAAGUUGUCUCUGGACUCUUCUCUCGUCUCCUCCAUUGUCCUCUUCAACGUGCUCAUUCCACCCUCCAUGACUUUCUCUCGGUGUUUUUGGAUUUGGUAGGUCAAACUAAUUUGUUAGGUUUCUUAUGAGUAAGAAACCAUUCUAUAGAUUAAAUAUAAAGAUGAAACACUCAAAACUGACAAUUCAACUUAAGUUCACAAUAACAUUAAUGGAAAACGUAAUUAAGAGAACAUUUAACAACAUCCAAGGGAAAUAAAUCCCAAAUAAAUCCCUGCAUACAGGAUAAACCUUAUCUAAACUUAUGAAAAUAUCACACACCCCAGGAGGAACCGUUUCCCCCUAAAAGAACCUUUAAAUCAUAAUAACUACCUUACUAAACGUUUGACUUCUUUGUAGCAUACACCUUUAAAGUCCUAUCAUAUAUUUUCAGUCAGGUAAUGUCCUUUUAAGUAAUGUCUUAUUUAGUAAUGUCCUCUUUAGUAAAUUCCUGUACCUUGUAACCUUGUUACUUACUUUCUUGAUCGAUAAAUAUUUCUGGUUUACAUUCUUCAAUUCAAUAUCUUUGUUGGUAUUGAAAAAUAUCUUUUGUUGGAAAUAAACACUUUCUUGAUUACAAGAAGAGAAAGAUGAGGUCUUGACACACCAAACUAAAAUUCACACAACAAAUACACUUUCUAACUUUCUAACAGAGCCCCUCCUCUUUCUAUUUUCUUUUACUUCACGGUGAUUCAAACUUGCAAUCUUCUCGUGGUUUUUUCUCCCUAUUUUUCACAGACUUUGAUUUUGCUCUGCUCCAUGGUGGUGUGUUAUUUGCUACACACAGCCCCUACGUUUAUAAUAGAGUAAAACACAAAAGUCCAAAAUGUUGGUGAUAAAAUGGUGGGCACAAGAAUACAAACAUGGUGGAGAUAUUGGAGAAGGCACACAAACAUAUUUUACUAAAGUGGAAGACCCAUGAUGGCACUAAAACUGUUGACGGAGCCCAUUUCUCUUUUAACUUUAUUUCCUAAAACUCAAGGACAUCAUGGUGGUCACCCCUUACAUCUUAACAAUCAGAAGAUACACAUAUCAACCAUUAAAUAUAUGGUUUUCUUUAUCCCAUUAUCUAUAUUUUAGAUACCUUUUGGCAAUUUCACUUAUUGUAAUUUUUUAACUAAUUUGAUCUUUUUCACAAUAAUUAGAUAAAGGAAUUAGGAUCAAAAGUUAGUAACAUUCCUGUCAAGAAUUGUGAAAGCAUGUUCGUGUGAACAAAAGCGGGGCAAUUGAAAAUGAAAAAAUUCAACAAGUGAUAUGUUUUCAUAUUAUAUUUGUGUGCAUGAAAUGAGAAUAAAUGUGAUAUGUUUGGUUGUUGUUUAGGUGAUAUUGUAACAAACUAAUUCAGAAGAGAUUAGUAAUGAUCACUUCGACAUUUUGAGUCAAGUUUUAUGCCUCCCAGAGUAUCAGGUUGUGUUAGGGGAAUGAGAUUUGAAGUCGGUCACAUAGAUUAAAUUGACUGCUCAAGUGAAAGACAUGUCCGAAAGAAUGACACGGAUGAAAAAUGAGAUGAUUUCACUUCAUAAAAUUGGCACACCAAAUAGUUUUCCUGAGGUAACUAACUAUUACUUUCAUUAUUACUUUAAUUUGCUUACCUUAAAUUUUCAUAGGUUCAUAUCUAGUUACAUUGGAGAUUCUCUUAUAAUUAUGUUUUCUAUAUUAGAAGUAAUGUUAGUGUAAUUUGUUUACUUUAAAAGCUUCUUAUAUUUGGUCACUUUAAAUAAUUUAUCUUAUAAUUAUAUUGUAUAAUGUACAAGUCUCUAAGUAGUAAAUUGUUUGUAUUAUCAUCAUUAUUUUGUUUGGUUGUGCAUAGAAAAUUGCAUAAUUUUAAGACCGAUACAUUACAUGGUAGACUUUUACCUAAAGAACAUGUCAAAGUUUGUAUAGAUAUUUCUUUGAAGUCAAAUGUAUCCUUGUCCAUGCCUAUUGUUGAUGAUGACAAUAGAACAAGCAAUAGAUACAUUUGUGACAUGACCAAUUAAUUUCAUAAAGGUUGUUGAUGAGAUAUGUAUAUAGAAUUGUAUUCAUUCAUAAUUAUGAAUAUAUUUUAUCUAUUUCCUAUCAUGUUUAAUUGAUAAUGUUUAGAAUUCUACUCAACCUAAAAAAGAUGAAUAAUACAAAUGAAAGUGUAGCACAUAAGAAGAAAUGUUAAUGGAAAAUGACCAUUCAACAUAUUCUCGUAAAUUGUGUCAUCUAAACUUUUGUAAUAGUGCAAUUGCCUCACUUCAUACAUAAAACUAAAGCUGUCAGAGUCACUACGUCCUAUACAAAUGAACAAAAUUAUGUUUGGAGUAAAUAAUCAUAAAGAAAUUGUUAAUGCAAAAAUGAUUGAAGAAGUUACUAAUUAUGCAUGGUUAGAUGCAAUUAGAAUUUAUAUAUAUAUAUAUCUAUUGUCACUGACUCAAGAUAAUAAAUUAUCUCCUGUUGUACCUAUAUAUAUAUAUAUAUAUAUAUAGAAAUUGUAGUUGCACCAAGCCAUGUAUAGUUAGUAACUUCUUCAAUAAUUUCUGCAUUAACUAUUUCUUUAUGACUAUCUAGUCCAAUUAUGUUUUGUCCAUUUGUAUUAGAUGAAGUGACUCUAAUGGUUUUAGUUUUAUGAAUGAAGAAAGACAAUUGCACCAUUAAGGAAGAUUGGGAUGAAACAGUUUACGAGGAGUAUGUUGAAUGAUCAUUUUUUCUUAACAUUUCUUUUUAGGUGUGACACGUUCAUUUGUAUUGUUCAUCCUUCUCUUUUUAGGUUGAGUAAAAUUCUAAAACAUCAUCAAUCAAACAAGUUAGGAAAUAUAUAAAAUAUGUUCAUAAAUAUGAAUGAAUACAAUUCCAUAAACAUAACUCAUUAAACAACCUGAUUUGACAUGCCACAAAUGUACCUAUUGCUUGUUCUAUUGUUAUCAUGUCAUCAUCAACGAUAAGUAUAGGUAAGGAUACAUUUUGGCUCCAAAGUAUUAUCUAUACUAACUUUGACAUAUCCCUUAGGUAGAGGUCUACCAUGUAUUGUAUCACUUUUAAAAUUAUGUAAUUUUCUAUGGGCAGCCAAGCAAAUGGAUGGUGAUAAUACAAACAAUUUACAACUUGAGAAUCCUUACACUAUAAAAUAUAAUUAUAAGAAAUUAUAUAACGUGACCAUAUAUAGAGAGCUUUUAAAGUAAACAAACUACAUUGACAUUACUCGUAAUAUAAUAAACAUAAUUAUAAGACAAUCUUCAAUGUUACUAAAUAUACCUAUGAAAGUUUAAAGUAAUGUAGAUAAGUUAGUUACCUCGGUAAAACUCUUUGAUGCCAAUGUGCAACUCUCUUGGCCACUAUUAAUAUUAGCUUCUUUAGUAGUAUUUGGUGUGCCAAUUUUUUGAAGCGAAAUCAUCUCAUUUUCCAUUUGUGUUAUUCUUUCCGACGUGUCUUUCACUUGAGUAGUUAAUUUAUCAUGUUCAUGGAGUGUAUGACGCUUUUUGGACGGGAAAUAAUAUAUGUGAUCGACUUCAAAUCCCAUUACCCUAACCUGACCUGAUACUCUGGGAGGGAGACAUAAAGUUUGACUCAAAAUGUCGGAGUAAUCAUUAUCAUCUCUUCUGAAUUAGUUUGUGAUAAUAUCACCUAAAUAGUAACCAAACAUAUCACAUUUAUUUUCAUUUCAUGUACACAAAUAUAAUAUGAAAACAUUAUUUACACAUUUGUUCCAAACUUAAUUUCUUCAUUUUCAAUUGUCCUGCUUUUGUUCACACGAGCAUGCGUUCACACUUUUGACCGGGAAUGUUAUUAACAUUUGAUCCCAAUUUCUUUAUCUAGUUAUUGUGAAAAAGAUCAAAUUAGUUAGAAAAUUACAAUAAUUGAAAUUGACAAAAUUUGUAGUUUGUCACGUAACAAUUUUCUAAAAUAUGAAUAAUGAGAUAAAGAAAAUCAUAUUUUUGAUUGUUGAUAGGUGUAUCUUUUGAAUAUUAAGAUGUAAGGGAAGUUACCACCAUGAUGUCUUUGAGUUUGUUGUGAGCACUUAAUGUUGUUGAUGUUGGAAUUUUAUUCUCAUGCACUGAGUUGAACAUAUAUCUUUGUAACUGCCAUGCAAAUACCAUGAAUGUUGCUGUUGUUAUAUGAUGAGGAAAUGUCCAUGUUAUGUUGUUGUGUUGAGCAAAUUUUAGUGGUGAUACAAGCCAACCGUGUACGAUAAUUUUGUGAUUUGAAUUUUGUUUUUGGUCUAGAGGUUAUGUUGGAAAUUUAUAAGUGUGAAGUAGCUAGCUGUUAUAUAUGCACGGUAACCAUCUUGUGUAGGUGAGAAACUUAAUACGUGUGUAUUAGUUGUUGAAUGGGGAAAAGUGAACUUUGGAGGAACCACGAUGGAGUAACGAACGAUAAACCCUCCAAAGGAGUUCGAGGUAUUAGUUUGGGAUGUAUAUUGAAUUAGAAGCCACUUGGAAGUUAGUUGGUGUAGUAAAUUUUAAAGUAUGUUUUUAACUUGGCUUUGUGCAUUAGCGUUUUUCUUCCUUUUUUUUGGCUAAAUGCUGCUACUUUGUGUUUUAGCACUUGGUAUAGGUCGAAUUCGGUGAGGAAUUGUAGUAGGUGCUGGCUUGAAACGUGAGCUAAGAUAGUAUAGUCUUGAAGUUGAUAAAUCAAUAUAUUAUGCUUGGAUAGUUUGUGAUGCAGCAUCAGAUUCUGAUCUGAUGUUUUGGAGCUGCUGUUUGGACAAUGUUUCAGUGCAGAUGUUGGCCGUAAGAUUCCUUCAUCUAACAAGCUGCUAGACCUUUUAUGGAGUGUUUUUUUACAUUAGAGAUGCUACCUUAUUGGACCAAGCUAUUUUGAUUGGAUAUUAUUUGGUUUCUUUGACUUUAGAAGAUGUAUACCUAGGAGUUUUUUUUGGGAGUUCCGAUGUUUUGGCAGAAUCAUGGACCUGGUUUUUCAUUUUUAGAAAAGGAAUGGAAAGAGAUAAACUUAAGUGGUAUAGAAUUAAGAGUAAAAUAGAUGCUAUUGGAAUUUUCGCUGGGUGCAGAAAUGAAAAGUUAGUAGUGGACCUCCUCAUGUUUCUUUCAUGUUCAGUAUUUUAGUGCAGCCUAAAUGGGAACAUAUGUUGGACUCCUUUAUGAAUGUUAUUUUGGUGUAGUGUGAGGAAAUUUUCCAGCAAAGUCACAUAAGUGUCAUGAUACAAAAUAUUGGUUAUUCAAAUGGUUUAAGUCUGGAUAAUAUUUCCUUAGAAACAUGAGAAACUAUUGAGAUUUAGCUAAGGUCUUAGUUGCCGAAUGACUAGUGGUUGCUGGAUUAAAUUUAACUUGAGAGUGUGGCAUUUCAUGGCAGUUUAGUCAGCCUUGAUAGGGUGAGAGUGUUUUUCUUUUUUUGGAGGAAACCAAUUUCCCAUAAGUAAGAAUGCUGGUCUAAUAUUAUCUAGCGAUAAAAGUGGCUGUUUGGAAAGGCUUAUCAUUUGUGUUAUGCCUGGUCCGUGAGGUUAUAAUCCACUGGUUUUGUUUUUAAUAUGAAGGAACUUUGUGAAUUAGAUCUGCUUAAAUUGGAGUGGGAUGUUUUUAUUCUUAAGGAAACAGUUCAAUAGUAUAUCGAAGUAAUUCUUGUUCCAAUAUAUAUAUAUGCGAAUAUAUAUUUCAUUUAUAUUUUACUUAUCAGAACAACGAAGAGUAAAUCAUUAUUAAGCCUUAUAUAAUUUUUAAUUAAGCAAGUAUAAUUCAACACAUAAUUGGUCCAUAUAUGUUCUUAGCAUACUACUGAUUUAGUAACAUCAAGCAUCACCAUUACACUCUCGAUUCUUUCAGUAUGGCUUCAAACAAUAUUGCAGAGAAAUCAUACCUAAUAUCUUGCACCACUUAAAUACCAUAACAAGCACUAAGUUUGGGAUAAUACUCUUAAACACAUCAGACAAUUGUACCUUAAGCAUUGAUGACUCACUCCUUAAACAUUAAAUCAGUAUUUAAAUACUAUAAUUCCAUACUGGUGUUGAAUAUAGAAAUAUACGCAUGCUUAAGUCAAAAUGAUCAUAUUGUGCAAAGUAAAAUAGAGUUUUGAUACAAGCAGAUGAUAAACUAGUUCUUUCUGCUACCAUACAUGCCUAUAAGAACUAUCAUGCAUCCAAAUAUUGAAAUCAGUGGCAAUAUUUAUAAAAGCUAUACCAUCUUCAACACAUAUCCAAACAAUAACACACCCAAUCCAAUACCAACAUAUAUCCGAUGAUAUUAAAACAAUUCACAGUACUAUUAACUAUAAUAAAACUAUACAAUAACAGUCAUAUCCUUAAAAUUAAGUCAAACCACCUUAUUGCAUAAUUAAUGAUAUCCACUAGCACAACAAAGAAUAUGACAGUGUCCUUUACCACCAUCAGGUAUAACACAACGCAUAUGACUCGAGAAAUUUAUCCUCUACUUAUUUUACAAAUUUAUUUUAUCUAUGAUACUGCUUGACCCAUAACAAAAGACAUAAAGGAUAUUAAUCAACAUAAACCAUGAUAGUAUACAACCGGUCAAGUAUCAUAUCCAUAAUCAACACACAAGAAGUAAUAUACCACAGAACAUCUAGCAUCAUCAACAAUGUCAGCCCAAACCCAUACUCAUGCAACCACUAAAUUUGUCUAUAGUCUGUUAUCAUUAUUCACCAUAAACAAGUUUAUUAACAUCAGAUUUUAAAUCACCAAACACAACAAAACAAGUAAUUACUUCAUCCAAUUUGUUGUUUCAUAUUUACAUUAAGAACUAGUCUCACUCGUGUAGAACAGAGUCACCAAACCCAAAUAUUCACGCAACAAGUAUGCUAAACUAAAUAACCAGAAUCGAAAUAAAGAAGAGAAGGACGAAGAGGGAAUGUGAUACCUAAAACGGCAGCCCUACAGGUUGAGGCACCGCACACUGAUGAAAGACAAAGGAAACACCCAUUGAUGAAAACAUACGCAGAUGAAAAUGUCUAAGCAGAAAUCGAAGGAGAAGUGCGAUCUAAGCAUAAACGAAUAAGGUCAAAGGAGAAGAAUGAAUUGAUUUUUUUUUUAACAAUCAUAGAUAACACUUAUUAUAAAAAGCGCUA